RNAcentral lists this small RNA (805 nucleotides) under uncultured Psiloglonium. RNAcentral's name for it is "eukaryotic LSU rRNA". The stretch from base 523 to 805 matches the Rfam family "Eukaryotic large subunit ribosomal RNA", at positions 1 to 281 of the family's 3401-position model. The record is from RNAcentral. Lineage: Eukaryota; Fungi; Ascomycota; Dothideomycetes; Hysteriales; Hysteriaceae.
CUUGGUCAUUUAGAGGAAGUAAAAGUCGUAACAAGGUUUCCGUAGGUGAACCUGCGGAAGGAUCAUUACCUAGAGUUGCGGGCUUUGCCUGCCAUCUCUUACCCAUGUCUUUUGAGUACCUUACGUUUCCUCGGCGGGUCCGCCCGCCGACUGGACAAUUUAAACCACUUGCAGUUGCAAUCAGCGUCUGAAAAAACUUAAUAGUUACAACUUUCAACAACGGAUCUCUUGGUUCUGGCAUCGAUGAAGAACGCAGCGAAAUGCGAUAAGUAGUGUGAAUUGCAGAAUUCAGUGAAUCAUCGAAUCUUUGAACGCACAUUGCGCCCCUUGGUAUUCCAUGGGGCAUGCCUGUUCGAGCGUCAUUUGUACCUUCAGGCCUUGCUUGGUGUUGGGUGUUUGUCUCGCCUCUGCGCGUAGACUCGCCUCAAAACAAUUGGCAGCCGGCGUAUUGAUUUCGGAGCGCAGUACAUCUCGCGCUUUGCACUCAGAACGACGACGUCCAAAAGUACAUUUUUACACUCUUGACCUCGGAUCAGGUAGGGAUACCCGCUGAACUUAAGCAUAUCAAUAAGCGGAGGAAAAGAAACCAACAGGGAUUGCCCUAGUAACGGCGAGUGAAGCGGCAACAGCUCAAAUUUGAAAUCUGGCGUCUUUGGCGUCCGAGUUGUAAUUUGCAGAGGGCGCUUUGGCAUUGGCAGCGGUCCAAGUUCCUUGGAACAGGACGUCACAGAGGGUGAGAAUCCCGUACGUGGUCGCUAGCCUUUACCGUGUAAAGCCCCUUCGACGAGUCGAGUUGUUUGGGAAU